GAUGAACGCUGGCGGCGUGCCUUAGGCAUGCAAGUCGAACGGGUCUCGCAAGAGACCAGUGGCAGACGGGUGAGUAACGCGUAGGUAUCUACCCCUGGGUGGAGCAUAGCCCCUCGAAAGAGGGGGUAAUACUCCAUAGUCUCGUAAGAGUAAAGCACUUAACUGUGCGCCGAGGGAGGAGCCUGCGUCCUAUCAGCUUGUUGGUGGGGUAAUAGCCUACCAAGGCGAUGACGGGUAGCUGGACUGAGAGGUCGAUCAGCCACAACUGCACUGAGACACGGGCAGUACACCUACGGGUGGCAG
This 303-nucleotide ribosomal RNA is filed under the name uncultured Microgenomates group bacterium. RNAcentral describes it as "bacterial SSU rRNA". It matches the Rfam family "Bacterial small subunit ribosomal RNA", at positions 28 to 351 of the family's 1533-position model. The record is from RNAcentral.